RNAcentral lists this ribosomal RNA (398 nucleotides) under uncultured bacterium. RNAcentral describes it as "bacterial SSU rRNA". It matches the Rfam family "Bacterial small subunit ribosomal RNA", at positions 361 to 774 of the family's 1533-position model. The record is from RNAcentral.
AUCUUGCGCAAUGGGCGAAAGCCUGACGCAGCAACGCCGCGUGGAGGACGAAGGCUUUCUGAGUUGUGAACUCCUUUCAGCAGGGACGAUAGUGACGGUACCUGCAGAAGAAGCACCGGCCAACUACGUGCCAGCAGCCGCGGUGAUACGUAGGGUGCAAGCGUUGUCCGGAUUUAUUGGGCGUAAAGAGCUCGUAGGCGGUUUGGUAAGUCGGGUGUGAAACCUCCAGGCUCAACCUGGAGCCGCCACUCGAUACUGCCAUGACUUGAAUUCGGUAGGGGACCACGGAAUUCCUGGUGUAGCGGUGAAAUGCGCAGAUAUCAGGAGGAACACCAGCAGCGAAGGCGGUGGUCUGGGCCGACAUUGACGCUGAGGAGCGAAAGCGUGGGGAGCGAACA